This 253-nucleotide ribosomal RNA is filed under the name uncultured bacterium. Its description in RNAcentral is "partial 16S ribosomal RNA". It matches the Rfam family "Bacterial small subunit ribosomal RNA", at positions 524 to 776 of the family's 1533-position model. The record is from RNAcentral.
UACAGAGGUCCCAAGCGUUGUUCGGAUUCACUGGGCGUAAAGGGUGCGUAGGCGGUCGGGUAAGUCUGAUGUGAAAUCUCACAGCUUAACUGUGAAACUGCAUUGGAUACUAUCCGGCUCGAGGAAUGGAGGGGAGACUGGAAUACUUGGUGUAGCAGUGAAAUGCGUAGAUAUCAUUUGGAACGCCAACGGCGAAAGCAGGCAGCUGGGGAUGCACCGACGCUGAGACACGAAAGCCAGGGGAGCGAACGGG